GACGAACGCUGGCGGCGUGCUUAACACAUGCGAGUCGAACGGACAGACAGAGAGCUUGCUCUCUUGAAGUUAGUGGCGAACGGGUGAGUAACGCGUAAUCAACCUGCCCUUCAGAGGGGGAUAACAACGGGAAACCGUUGCUAAUACCGCGUACGAUUCAUGAACGGCAUCGUUUAUGAAUGAAAGGUGGCCUCUAUGUAUAAGCUAUCGCUGAAGGGGGGGAUUGCGUCUGAUUAGCUAGUUGGAGGGGUAACGGCCCACCAAGGCAAUGAUGAGUAGCCGGUCUGGGAGGAUGGACGGCCACAUUGGGACUGAGACACGGGCCACACUCCUACGGGAGGCAGCAGUGGGGAAUCUUCCGCAAUGGACGAAAGUCUGACGGAGCAACGCCGCGUGAGUGAUGAAGGUCUUCGGAUUGUAAAGCUCUGUUAAUCGGGACGAAAGAGUUCUGCGUGAAUAAUGCAGAAAAGUGACGGUACCGGAAUAGAAAGCCACGGCUAACUACGUGCCAGCCGCCGCAGUAA
Molecule: ribosomal RNA, 524 nt
Filed under: uncultured bacterium
Lineage: Bacteria
Description: partial 16S ribosomal RNA
Rfam family: Bacterial small subunit ribosomal RNA
Source: RNAcentral